Molecule: ribosomal RNA, 433 nt
Filed under: uncultured bacterium
Lineage: Bacteria
Description: partial 16S ribosomal RNA
Rfam family: Bacterial small subunit ribosomal RNA
Source: RNAcentral
AGCGAACGCUGGCGGCAGGCCUAACACAUGCAAGUCGAACGAACUCUUCGGAGUUAGUGGCGGAUGGGUGAGGAACACGUGGGAACGGGCCUUUUGGUUCGGAAUAACUCAGUGAAAUGUGUGCUAAUACCGAAUGUGCUCUGCGGGGGAAAGAUUUAUCGCCAUGAGAGCGGCCCGCGUCUGAUUAGCUAGUUGGUGAGGUAACGGCUCAUCAAGGCGACGAUCAGUAGCUGGGCUGAGAGGAUGACUAGCCACACUGGGACUGAGACACGGCCCAGACUCCUACGGGAGGCAGGAGUGGGGGAUCUAGCGCAAUGGGCGAAAGGCUGACGCAGCCAUGCCGCGUGAAUGAUGAAGGUCUUAGGAUUGUAAAAUUCUUUCACCGGGGACGAUAAUGACGGUACCCGGAGAAGAAGCCCCGGCUAACUUCGUG